CCUACGGGUGGCAGCAGUGGGGAAUAUUGGGCAAUGGACGCAAGUCUGACCCAGCAACGCCGCGUGAAUGAUGAAGGCUUUCGGAUUGUAAACUUCUUUGUUCAGGGAUGAAGACAGUGACGGUACCUGAAUAGCAAGCCACGGCUAACUACGUGCCAGCAGCCGCGGUAAUACGUAGGUGGCAAGCGUUAUCCGGAAUUACUGGGUGUAAAGGGUGCGUAGGUGGUUUGGUAAGUUGGCGGUGAAAUUCCGGGGCUCAACCCCGGCGUUCCCGCCGAAACUAUCAGACUAGAGUGCAGGAGAGGUACGCGGAAUUCGCAGUGUAGCGGUGGAAUGCGUAGAUAUCAGGAAGAACACCGAGUGCGAAGGCAGCUUACCGG
Molecule: ribosomal RNA, 380 nt
Filed under: uncultured bacterium
Lineage: Bacteria
Description: partial 16S ribosomal RNA
Rfam family: Bacterial small subunit ribosomal RNA
Source: RNAcentral